UGGGGAAUUUUGGACAAUGGGCGAAAGCCUGAUCCAGCAAUGCCGCGUGUGUGAAGAAGGCCUUCGGGUUGUAAAGCACUUUUGUCCGGAAAGAAAUCCUCUGGGUUAAUACCUCGGGGGGAUGACGGUACCGGAAGAAUAAGCACCGGCUAACUACGUGCCAGCAGCCGCGGUAAUACGUAGGGUGCAAGCGUUAAUCGGAAUUACUGGGCGUAAAGCGUGCGCAGGCGGUUUGCUAAGACCGAUGUGAAAUCCCCGGGCUCAACCUGGGAACUGCAUUGGUGACUGGCAGGCUAGAGUAUGGCAGAGGGGGGUAGAAUUCCACGUGUAGCAGUGAAAUGCGUAGAGAUGUGGAGGAAUACCGAUGGCGAAGGCAGCCCCCUGGGCCAAUACUGACGCUCAUGCACGAAAGCGUGGGGAGCAAAACAGGAUUAGAUACCCUGGUAGUCCACGCCCUAAACGAUGUCAACUAGUUGUUGGGGAUUCAUUUCCUUAGUAACGUAGCUAACGCGUGAAGUUGACCGCCUGGGGAGUACGGUCGCAAGAUUAAAACUCAAAGGAAUUGACGGGGUCAUAGCUGUUUCCU
Molecule: ribosomal RNA, 586 nt
Filed under: uncultured bacterium
Lineage: Bacteria
Description: partial 16S ribosomal RNA
Rfam family: Bacterial small subunit ribosomal RNA
Source: RNAcentral